RNAcentral lists this ribosomal RNA (161 nucleotides) under Hordeum murinum subsp. leporinum. RNAcentral describes it as "5.8S ribosomal RNA". It matches the Rfam family "5.8S ribosomal RNA". From Rfam's summary of the family: 5.8S ribosomal RNA (5.8S rRNA) is a component of the large subunit of the eukaryotic ribosome. It is transcribed by RNA polymerase I as part of the 45S precursor that also contains 18S and 28S rRNA. Lineage: Eukaryota; Viridiplantae; Streptophyta; Magnoliopsida; Poales; Poaceae. The record is from RNAcentral.
ACGACUCUCGGCAACGGAUAUCUCGGCUAUCGCAUCGAUGAAGAACGUAGCGAAAUGCGAUACCUGGUGUGAAUUGCAGAAUCCCGCGAACCAUCGAGUCUUUGAACGCAAGUUGCGCCCGAGGCCACUCGGCCGAGGGCACGCCUGCCUGGGCGUCACGC